Molecule: non-coding RNA, 27 nt
Filed under: Mus musculus (house mouse)
Lineage: Eukaryota; Metazoa; Chordata; Mammalia; Rodentia; Muridae
Source: RNAcentral
UGAGGAAAUGGCUCCAUUAUAUUGGCC